UCUUGUCUUGUCUGGUUGGAAGAUUCUUGCGUUUGUUAUAGUGGUAGGCACACGUUCCCUUACAGACAAAAGCUUUGGUAUUUAAAGGACAGACUUUGUUUGAACCGUAAUAUUUAUUUUUUUUGGUUAGAAAGGAUUAAUAUAGACAACAGAGUAAUAGUUAUAGGAUAGCCGGUUAGUCUGGCUCAAAAAUAGCAAGGUCCGCACUAAAGUUUGUGCUGCUAGCUUUCACAAAUCUAUUAAAACAAGUUCCUAAAAUGUCUGUCUAGACAUGUUCUAUUGCAAACACAAGAGGAACUUCAAAAAUGCAUGUGGGUCCAAAAAUCCGCUUGCGUACUCCUUCCUUUGCCUGCGAGUCUGCUACUUGGUUUUGUUCUCUCUAAAACAGUGCUGUACUGCUGGUCGUCUCACUCUUGUCAGCAUGGAUCUGCAAAGUUCAAGAAUAGGGUCAAAAUGCAUGUUUCCAUGUUUUAGCAUAUGUAUAACCUGUUGUGAGUCAAUAUUGAUCACAAUGGGGUGGAAGUUGUUAUCCUCCACAAUUUUCAGGCCUUCCAGUACAGCUAGGAGCUCCAUUUGAUUGUUAGUAGCCUUAAAGGCUUUUAUUUGUUGUCGUUUUUAACUUUUGUCCUUAAAAUAGUUUCAAAAAAAACAAGUGAUUGAAAAUACCUCUAGUACGGAAAUAAUAAAUAAUUUCUGCUAACACGUGUUGUGUCUUGAAGGCAUAACCAGUUAUAACGAGUUAUGUUGCUUAGUUCAUACCAAAACUUGUGUGCCGAUAGAGGUAAAAGUUUAGCUCAAAACUCAAAGUUAUGUUGUAAAAGGGAGUAUAACUUAGCAAAACUACAGAUUUAGAACCCACAAGUUAUGCCAUUUUACGCCAUAACUUAAUUUCUAGUUUCUACAAAACUUGUGUCGAGCAAGACAAAAAUUCUCUAACCUUAUGCCUAAUGAAAUUAAAUCGUGCAAAUACUCCACAACAUAUGCUACAUAACUUAAUUGCAGAAACUUCUGUUUUUUUUAAAUAGCCGUUUCGCUAUGAAAAUUACUUUUUUUUUUUUUUUCUGGAGUUGAGUUGAGUUGAGUUGGAGUUGGAGUUGAAGAUGAAGUUAGAGUUAAAGUUGUGUUUGGCAUGUCUUUUAGAAAUUUUUUUAGACUUUUGAAAAAUCUUUUUUAAAUAUGAUUUUAUGCGCUCAACUUUUAAAAAUUAUCAAAAUCAUUCAACUACUAAUUUAGCUACUAACAUACAACCAAAUGUUAAAAAAAUAAUUUAUAUGUCUUCAAUUGAUAAAAUAAUUAACAACAAACUAAUUAUUAUGAUUGUUAUUCUUUUAAAAUUAGAAUAAAAAUAUCACAAGCACGAGCUAAAUAAGUUUAUCUAACCAUAAUCGAUUGAAUAGAGAAAAUAUAUUUUGAUAAAUAUGAUUGAUGGAUAUAAAUAUAUUCUUAAAUUUGUUGAUGAAAAUUCUUAAUUACUUUCACUUGAAUUAAUUAUUUUAUUGAAUUUGAUCUUUUUGAAAAAAUUUACGGAUAAAUUAUUUCUAAAUAGAUUAGUGCUAAUUUUUUGUUUCUUCUUUAUUGAUGAUAUUGAUUUCCCUUGAAUAUUAUUUUUGUUUUGAUAAAGAGAACAAACUUUUGUUAAGCUAAUUACCACAUUCGCCUCUGUUCAAAAUCCAUAAAACCAAAAUAAGGUAAUCGUCAAUAUGAAUCGUUACGUUAUGUUUGAUUUGCGAUUUUACUGAUCAUUUUUUAAUAAUUUAUUAAAAUCAUCAUAGCCAUUAUAUGACAUUAUACAGAAAAUUAAAAUGGCAAGAAAAAACUAUUAAAUUUCUCAUUUUUAAAUAACAUAAUGCACUAGGCCUUAUAUUUCUAUAAUAUAGUUCAUUAAAGACAAAAGUUAAUAUAUUUCUGCCAUAAAUUGCUAUUUAUUAUUUUUACUUAUUUUACGUUAGUAAAUUUUAGUUAAAAGAAGAAAAAGAGAUUAGAAUAUCUGUAACAAUUAAAAAUGAUGUUGUACUAUAUAAAACAAUAAUUUUUUCUUGGUGGUUGUUUGUAGUUAUAAAGGGAUUUGUGUAAAAAUUUAAAGAUUGAGUUAUAUGUAAUAAUAAUGAAAGUUGGAAAUGGAAGUGGAAAAUUGUGAAAACAACAAAAAGUUGUUUUCACUUUUUGAAAUCCAACUCCGGAAUAAUUUUUUGAAUUUUCAUGGUCAAAUAUCACAAUUUCCGAAAAAGUGAAAAAAUAAAAAUAAAAAAUCGAAAAAAAAUUUAUAACCGAACGGACCCUUAAAUUUAUGCUAGCGAAAGUAGGCCAUAAAUAAGGACACUUUGGUCUGCAAUUUUUCAAUGAAGGUAAAAAUUAAAGAUCUCUCCAAACAGAGACAAUAUGUGCUAAAACUUUAGGUGCCAUUUGGUUGAAAAAUUGUUAACUUAUCCCACCAUCCAUCACUAUGGGAAAAAUGGUGGAAUAAGUUACUCUAACCAAACAAACAAGAGAUAAAAUGAUUUUUUAUUUUACCUCACACCAAACGGGCGGUAAGAAGAAAUAGGAAUUGAUGGAUGAGGUGAGCAAGUGAAGAAGGAAGAAGAAGUUAAAUGGGUUGAGGACAAAGAAGAGCGAGAGAGAGACCUUGGGCCUUGGGGGGAUAACAGUAACACGCGGAGUUUGGUAACAAUAUGUUUGUUGAUCAAUUCUACCCUUCCUCGUCAAUUCCUGUUGGCUCUUAUAGACCGCAACUCAGGAUCACUUCGAAAUAACCAAAGACUUUUCUCGUGGAAUGGAAAUUCUUUUCUC
Molecule: long non-coding RNA, 2787 nt
Filed under: Capsicum annuum
Lineage: Eukaryota; Viridiplantae; Streptophyta; Magnoliopsida; Solanales; Solanaceae
Description: long non-coding RNA (CANN_LNC003883)
Source: RNAcentral